UACGAGAGGCGCAAACGUUAUUCGGAAUUACUGGGCUUAAAGAGUUCGUAGGCGGCGCAGAAAGUAGGGUGUGAAAGCCCUCGGCCCAACCGAGGAAUUGCGCUCUAAACUACUGUGCUUGAGGGACCUAGAGGUGAGCGGAACUGAUGGUGGAGCGGUGAAAUGCGUUGAUAUCAUCAGGAACACCGGAGGCGAAGGCGGCUCACUGGGGGUCUUCUGACGCUGAGGAACGAAAGCCAGGGGAGCGAACGGG
This 253-nucleotide ribosomal RNA is filed under the name uncultured bacterium. RNAcentral describes it as "partial 16S ribosomal RNA". It matches the Rfam family "Bacterial small subunit ribosomal RNA", at positions 524 to 776 of the family's 1533-position model. The record is from RNAcentral.